This 261-nucleotide long non-coding RNA is filed under the name Medicago truncatula (barrel medic). RNAcentral's name for it is "long non-coding RNA (MTRU_LNC007330)". The record is from RNAcentral. Lineage: Eukaryota; Viridiplantae; Streptophyta; Magnoliopsida; Fabales; Fabaceae.
ACUCACAAACACGUGAAAGAUUCACUCUCUUGGAAGUUAGGAUCAAAACAGAAAAAUCACCAAGAACAAUUCACAAACCCUAACUUCCAGAACCAAACUUCAUCAACAAAUUCAAUGAAAUUGCAUCAAUUCUCAGAGAUCCAUGGAUGAAUCUUCAUCACUGAAUUGAAAUCUCUGCAAUUCGAGGCGCGAAUUCCUCACCGGAGGUGAGAAACUCCAGCACCGACCACAGAGAAGAAAAGGAAGAGAGUUUCAAACCGG